CCUUUGACGUUAGCGGCGGACGGGUUAGUAACACGUGGGUAACCUACCUAUAAGACUGGGAUAACUUCGGGAAACCGGAGCUAAUACCGGAUAAUAUUUCGAACCGCAUGGUUCGAUAGUGAAAGAUGGUUUUGCUAUCACUUAUAGAUGGACCUGCGCCGUAUUAGCUAGUUGGUAAGGUAACGGCUUACCAAGGCGACGAUACGUAGCCGACCUGAGAGGGUGAUCGGCCACACUGGAACUGAGACACGGUCCAGACUCCUACGGGAGGCAGCAGGG
RNAcentral lists this ribosomal RNA (279 nucleotides) under uncultured Staphylococcus sp. RNAcentral's name for it is "partial 16S ribosomal RNA". It matches the Rfam family "Bacterial small subunit ribosomal RNA", at positions 83 to 354 of the family's 1533-position model. The record is from RNAcentral. Lineage: Bacteria; Bacillati; Bacillota; Bacilli; Caryophanales; Staphylococcaceae.